RNAcentral lists this small RNA (828 nucleotides) under Pan troglodytes (chimpanzee). RNAcentral's name for it is "retained intron". The record is from RNAcentral. Lineage: Eukaryota; Metazoa; Chordata; Mammalia; Primates; Hominidae.
GCUGGUGCGUACCGUCCCGAACCCUAGGAGCCGAGAUCCCACCCGCAGGACCCCAAAACCCAAUGAUCCUGCAGCAGCCCUUGCAGCGAGGCCCCCAGGGAGGGGCCCAGCGCCUCCCGCGGGCCGCCUUGGGGGUGACUUGGGGCCUGGACGCCAGCUCCCCUCUCCGAGGAGCUGUGCCCAUGAGCACCAAGCGGCGCCUGGAGGAGGAGCAGUGAGUUUGGGGGCAGGGAGGAACUCCCAACAAGAUCUCUGUCACCUCUGGUCCCCAACAGGCUGCCUCCUGUGUCAGUAUCCCAGCCUGCCUCUCUCCCAUCUCUCCCCAGGGAGCCUCUGCGCAAGCAGUUUCUGUCUGAGGAGAACAUGGCCACCCACUUCUCUCAACUCAGCCUGCACAAUGACCACCCCUACUGCAGCCCCCCCAUGACCUUCUCCCCAGCCCUGCCCCCACUCAGGAGCCCUUGCUCUGAGCUGCUUCUCUGGCGCUAUCCUGGCAGCCUCAUCCCUGAGGCCCUCCGUCUGCUGAGGCUGGGGGACACCCCCAGUCCCCCCUACCCUGCAACCCCAGCUGGGGACAUAAUGGAGCUCUGAGUGCUGGUGGACAGUGCCCCUCCCACCUUCCUUCUUCCCCACAACAGAAGAGACCAGCGACUCCCGCAAAGGGACAAGGUUCCUCCCUCUCCUGCAGAGUAGGCAUCUGGGCACCAAGACCUUCCCUCAACAGAGGACACUGAGCCCAACGGAGUUCUGGGAUGGGAGGGGUGGGAGCAUGGGAAGGGAGGCAUCCCACCCCCAAGAAGAACUGAAUAAAGAUUGCUGAGCAAAGGA